Molecule: transfer RNA, 72 nt
Filed under: Cloacibacillus evryensis DSM 19522
Lineage: Bacteria; Thermotogati; Synergistota; Synergistia; Synergistales; Synergistaceae
Rfam family: tRNA
About the family: Transfer RNA (tRNA) molecules are approximately 80 nucleotides in length.
Source: Rfam by way of RNAcentral
GGACAAUUAGUUCAGAGGUAGAACGCUUCCUUGACACGGAAGAGGUCAGAAGUUCAAUUCUUCUAUUGUCCA